GAUGAAGAACGUAGCGAAAUGCGAUACUUGGUGUGAAUUGCAGAAUCCCGUGAACCAUCGAGUCUUUGAACGCAAGUUGCGCCUCAAGCCAUUAGGUUGAGGGCACGUCUGCCUGGGCGUCACAUAUCGUUGCCUGAUGCCAGUUUCCUCGUGAUGGGUGACUGUGCAGGGCGAAUGAUGGCUUCCCGUGAGCAUUGUUGCCUCAUGGUUGGUUGAAAAUUGAGUCCUUGGUAGGGAGCGCCGUGAUAGAUGGUGGUUGAGUGACGAACGAGACCCAAUCAUGUGAGACCCCUACCGAAUUUGGCCUCCAUGACCCACAUGCGUCUUUGGAACGCUCAUGACGAGACCUCAGGUCAGGCGGGGCUACCCGCUGAGUUUAAGCAUAUCAAUAAGCGGAGGA
RNAcentral lists this unclassified non-coding RNA (400 nucleotides) under soil metagenome. Its description in RNAcentral is "partial contains 5.8S ribosomal RNA, internal transcribed spacer 2, and large subunit ribosomal RNA". The stretch from base 1 to 122 matches the Rfam family "5.8S ribosomal RNA", at positions 35 to 154 of the family's 154-position model. The record is from RNAcentral.